This 495-nucleotide ribosomal RNA is filed under the name uncultured bacterium. RNAcentral describes it as "partial 16S ribosomal RNA". It matches the Rfam family "Bacterial small subunit ribosomal RNA", at positions 29 to 506 of the family's 1533-position model. The record is from RNAcentral.
AUGAACGCUGGCGGCGUGCCUAAUACCUGCAAGUCGAGCGAACAGACGAGGAGCUUGCUCCUCUGACGUUAGCGGCGGACGGGUGAGUAACACGUGGAUAACCUACCUAUAAGACUGGGAUAACUUCGGGAAACCGGAGCUAAUACCGGAUAAUAUAUUGAACCGCAUGGUUCAAUAGUGAAAGACGGUUUUGCUGUCACUUAUAGAUGGAUCCGCGCCGCAUUAGCUAGUUGGUAAGGUAACGGCUUACCAAGGCAACGAUGCGUAGCCGACCUGAGAGGGUGAUCGGCCACACUGGAACUGAGACACGGUCCAGACUCCUACGGGAGGCAGCAGUAGGGAAUCUUCCGCAAUGGGCGAAAGCCUGACGGAGCAACGCCGCGUGAGUGAUGAAGGUCUUCGGAUCGUAAAACUCUGUUAUUAGGGAAGAACAAAUGUGUAAGUAACUAUGCACGUCUUGACGGGACCUAAUCAGAAAGCCACGGCUAACUACGU